GCCGGGCGCGGUGGCUCACGCCUGUAAUCCCAGUUACUCGAGAGGCUAAGGCAGGAGAAUCACUUGAAGCCGAGAGGUGGAGGUUGCAGUGAGCCAAGAUUAAGCCGCUGCACUCCAGCCUAGGNNNNNNNNNNGAGACGGAGUCUCACUCUGUCACCUAGGCUGGAGUGCAGCGGCUUAAUCUUGGCUCACUGCAACCUCCACCUCUCGGCUUCAAGUGAUUCUCCUGCCUUAG
Molecule: signal recognition particle RNA, 235 nt
Filed under: Chlorocebus sabaeus (green monkey)
Lineage: Eukaryota; Metazoa; Chordata; Mammalia; Primates; Cercopithecidae
Description: Metazoan signal recognition particle RNA
Rfam family: Metazoan signal recognition particle RNA
About the family: The signal recognition particle (SRP) is a universally conserved ribonucleoprotein.
Source: Rfam by way of RNAcentral